This is a long non-coding RNA of Dipodomys ordii (Ord's kangaroo rat), 1010 nucleotides long. RefSeq lists it as uncharacterized. Lineage: Eukaryota; Metazoa; Chordata; Mammalia; Rodentia; Heteromyidae. The record is from RefSeq and is a predicted model, not a curated record. The transcript is spliced from 2 exons.
UUUUGCAAGAAGUGCUCCAAGGUACCAUGGCGUGAUCCUCCAUGUACAGGUGUGGCUGAGCUGCCAGCUGAAUAACCAAUGCUCCUACUACACUGCCCACCCAUGGCCCCCACACCCACACUGCAUUGUACUGUGUUCUCUAGGAAGUCAGGUACAAACUAUGGGAAAAUUUCCAGUAUUCUGUGCUGCUGUUAUUCCUGAGGACUCAGUUGCAAAUAGCUAUAGAAACUUUGUUCUUGAAAAACAAAUUGAUGUUACUUAAAUAAAUGAGAAGAUGGGUUUUGCUUAAAAUGUUUAAAAUGUGUUUAAAAACCAAAAAAGGUAAACAAGUAAUGAAUAAAAAUUAAAAAACCAAAAAGGUAAAUAAGUGGAUUAUUUCUUCUGAAGCAAUAUAUUAUAAGCUUAAUAAGUCCGUGUCCAAAUAAAGAUCUAUCUUCAAAGAUUUUUGAAUGUUAACUUGAGUAAUUUUGAAUGAAUAGAACCAAGAACACAAUAGAGAAAAUCACAAUUAUGAUGUUUAUUUAGCAAAAUAAACUUGAAAGAUUUCUAUUAAAAAUGUAAGAAUCAUAUCCAAAUUUUAGGCUCUCAUAUUCUUUGGUACUGAAGUUAGGAUAGCAAAUAUUUUAUUUUGAAACAGUCAUUGGAUCUAUAAAGUUUCCCACAAAAGGAAAAUAUAUUGAAUUACCUGCAUUUGUCUUAUUUACUAAAAUGCCACUGAAUAUAUAAAAUCAACCAAUUACAUGCUCUCAGAGAUCAACUUCAUCAAGAAAAUAUUCAUUUUUUUAAAUGUUUCCUACUGGAAAUAUAUUUUGAGUUUUAAUGAUCUGUCAUCAUUUCUAUUAUGCUAUCUGAAUAGUCAUCCAGUUCUUGUAAAAAAAAUCUGAUGUUUCUAUUUUAAAAGCCUAGAUAUCUUGGAAUUGUGUUUCAUUCUUUUCCUCUAUAAAAGUAAGAAGAAAAAUACUAACAAGUUUAAAUUAAUAAUAAGCCCAGUUCUAAUUUUUGUAUCUUAA